AAGUCGUAACAAGGUUUCCGUAGGUGAACCUGCGGAAGGAUCAUUAACACGUAUCCAACGUUAAACCCCCCCCGUGAACGUACAUUCCUUCUCCGCUUACAGAAAAUUGGUGCUGUAAGGUAGACUGCUUUAACGAGCGGGUACCAGUAGGCCGACACGGCCGGUAUCGGAUCCUGGGCGUCGUUCCUAUAGGAACGAGUACACGUCCCUCUUGACCCCUUGAAACGACAGGGUGUCGCGAAAACGUGGUAAGGCAUGAUUUUACUUGUACCGAAAGGUCCAAGUACUAACUGAACAACUGUUAACAAUGGAUAUCUUGGUUCUC
This 325-nucleotide unclassified non-coding RNA is filed under the name fungal sp. RNAcentral describes it as "partial internal transcribed spacer region". The stretch from base 1 to 46 matches the Rfam family "Eukaryotic small subunit ribosomal RNA", at positions 1786 to 1831 of the family's 1831-position model. Lineage: Eukaryota; Fungi. The record is from RNAcentral.